RNAcentral lists this ribosomal RNA (253 nucleotides) under uncultured bacterium. RNAcentral describes it as "partial 16S ribosomal RNA". It matches the Rfam family "Bacterial small subunit ribosomal RNA", at positions 524 to 776 of the family's 1533-position model. The record is from RNAcentral.
UACGUAGGGGGCAAGCGUUGUCCGGAAUUAUUGGGCGUAAAGAGCGCGUAGGCGGUCCGGUAAGUCGGCUGUGAAAGUCAAGGGCUCAACCCUUGAAAGCCGGCCGAUACUGUCGGACUAGAGUCCGGAAGAGGCGAGUGGAAUUCCCGGUGUAGCGGUGAAAUGCGUAGAGAUCGGGAAGAACAUCGGUGGCGAAAGCGCUCUACUGGGCCAUAGCUGACACUCAGGGACGAAAGCUAGGGGAGCGAAUGGG